This 433-nucleotide ribosomal RNA is filed under the name uncultured bacterium. RNAcentral describes it as "partial 16S ribosomal RNA". It matches the Rfam family "Bacterial small subunit ribosomal RNA", at positions 29 to 507 of the family's 1533-position model. The record is from RNAcentral.
AACGAACGCUGGCGGCAUGCCUAACACAUGCAAGUCGAACGAGACCUUCGGGUCUAGUGGCGCACGGGUGCGUAACGCGUGGGAACCUGCCCUUAGGUUCGGAAUAACUCCCCGAAAGGGGUGCUAAUACCGGAUAAUGUCUUCGGACCAAAGAUUUAUCGCCUUUGGAUGGGCCCGCGUUGGAUUAGCUAGUUGGUAGGGUAAAAGCCUACCAAGGCGACGAUCCAUAGCUGGGCUGAGAGGAUGAUCAGCCACACUGGGACUGAGACACGGCCCAGACUCCUACGGGAGGCAGCAGUGGGGAAUAUUGGACAAUGGGCGAAAGCCUGAUCCAGCAAUGCCGCGUGAGUGAUGAAGGCCUUAGGGUUGUAAGGCUCUUUUACCCGGGAUGAUAAUGACAGUACCGGGAGAAUAAGCUCCGGCUAACUCCGUG